GAUGAACGCUGGCGGCGUGCCUAAUACAUGCAAGUCGAGCGAACAGAUGAGGAGCUUGCUCCUCUGACGUUAGCGGCGGACGGGUGAGUAACACGUGGAUAACCUACCUAUAAGACUGGGAUAACUUCGGGAAACCGGAGCUAAUACCGGAUAAUAUCUUGAACCGCAUGGUUCAAUAGUGAAAGACGGUUUUGCUGUCACUUAUAGAUGGAUCCGCGCCGCAUUAGCUAGUUGGUAAGGUAACGGCUUACCAAGGCAACGAUGCGUAGCCGACCUGAGAGGGUGAUCGGCCACACUGGAACUGAGACACGGUCCAGACUCCUAAGGGAGGCAGCAGUAGGGAAUCUUCCGCAAUGGGCGAAAGCCUGACGGAGCAACGCCGCGUGAGUGAUGAAGGUCUUCGGAUCGUAAAACUCUGUUAUUAGGGAAGAACAAAUGUGUAAGUAACUAUGCACGUCUUGACGGUACCUAAUCAGAAAGCCACGGCUAACUACGUG
This 497-nucleotide ribosomal RNA is filed under the name uncultured bacterium. RNAcentral describes it as "partial 16S ribosomal RNA". It matches the Rfam family "Bacterial small subunit ribosomal RNA", at positions 28 to 507 of the family's 1533-position model. The record is from RNAcentral.